Molecule: transfer RNA, 82 nt
Filed under: Betaproteobacteria bacterium SCN1
Lineage: Bacteria; Pseudomonadati; Pseudomonadota; Betaproteobacteria
Rfam family: tRNA
About the family: Transfer RNA (tRNA) molecules are approximately 80 nucleotides in length. Their secondary structure includes four short double-helical elements and three loops (D, anti-codon, and T loops).
Source: Rfam by way of RNAcentral
GCCCAGGUGGCGGAAUCGGUAGACGCAGCGGAUUCAAAAUCCGCCGCCGCAAGGUGUGGGGGUUCGAGUCCCCCCCUGGGCA